UGCUGUGAUGGUGUAAUUUGCGUCUUACUCUGGGUUGGUGACAGAAUGCCUGCUGUCGAAAGCCAGCACAGACGGCUGACGAACCCAAACUCUGAGCU
This is a small nucleolar RNA of 98 nucleotides. Its record names the gene SNORD16. It matches the Rfam family "Small nucleolar RNA SNORD16". Rfam says of the family: U16 is a member of the C/D class of snoRNA which contain the C (UGAUGA) and D (CUGA) box motifs. U81 acts as a guanine methylation guide and is found in an intron of ribosomal proteins L1 gene in animals. This snoRNA was independently named MBII-98 in mouse. The record is from Ensembl.